Molecule: non-coding RNA, 72 nt
Organism: Durotheca rogersii
Lineage: Eukaryota; Fungi; Ascomycota; Sordariomycetes; Xylariales; Xylariaceae
Source: the annotation of a RefSeq genome assembly
GCCUCUAUGGCUCAGUGGUAAAGCGUCGCACUUGUAAUGCGAAGAUCCCUCGUUCGAUCCGGGGUGGAGGCA